RNAcentral lists this ribosomal RNA (468 nucleotides) under uncultured bacterium. RNAcentral's name for it is "partial 16S ribosomal RNA". It matches the Rfam family "Bacterial small subunit ribosomal RNA", at positions 28 to 507 of the family's 1533-position model. The record is from RNAcentral.
GACGAACGCUGGCGGCGUGCUUAACACAUGCAAGUCGAACGGUGAAGCUCCAGCUUGCUGGAGUGGAUCAGUGGCGAACGGGUGAGCAACACGUGAGCAACCUGCCCCUGACUCUGGAAUAAGCGCUGGAAACGGCGUCUAAUACUGGAUACGAGAAGGGUCCGCAUGGGCACUUUCUGGAAAGUUUUUCGGUUGGGGAUGGGCUCGCGGCCUAUCAGCUUGUUGGUGAGGUAAUGGCUCACCAAGGCGACGACGGGUAGCCGGCCUGAGAGGGCGACCGGCCACACUGGGACUGAGACACGGCCCAGACUCCUACGGGAGGCAGCAGUGGGGAAUAUUGCACAAUGGGCGAAAGCCUGAUGCAGCGACGCCGCGUGAGGGAUGACGGCCUUCGGGUUGUAAACCUCUUUCAGCAGGGAAGAAGCGAAAGUGACGGUACCUGCAGAAGAAGCACCGGCUAACUACGUG